ACAGCAGCAGCCGCGGUAAGACAGAGGACGCAAGCGUUGUCCGGAAUUAUUGGGCGUAAAGAGCUCGUAGGCGGUCUGUCGCGUCUGGUGUGAAAUCCCGAGGCUCAACCUCGGGCUUGCAUCGGGUACGGGCAGACUAGAGUGCGGUAGGGGAGACUGGAAUUCCUGGUGUAGCGGUGGAAUGCGCAGAUAUCAGGAGGAACACCGAUGGCGAAGGCAGGUCUCUGGGCCGCAACUGACGCUGAGGAGCGAAAGCAUGGGGAGCGAACAGGAUUAGAUACCCCUGUAGUCCCUGUCUCUUAUAC
RNAcentral lists this ribosomal RNA (305 nucleotides) under uncultured bacterium. RNAcentral describes it as "partial 16S ribosomal RNA". It matches the Rfam family "Bacterial small subunit ribosomal RNA", at positions 505 to 807 of the family's 1533-position model. The record is from RNAcentral.